CGUGUAGGUGGCCUGAUCAGUCAGAUGUGAAAGCUCCCGGCUUAAACCGGGAAACUGCAUUUGAAACUGUCAGGCUUGAGUGCGAGAGAGGGUAGUGGAAUUCCAGUGUAGCGGUGAAAUGCGUAGAUAUUGGGAAGAACACCAGUAGCGAAGGCGGCUACCUGGCUCGUAACUGACGCUAAUGCGCGAAAGCGGUGGGGAUCAAACA
This 208-nucleotide ribosomal RNA is filed under the name uncultured bacterium. RNAcentral describes it as "partial 16S ribosomal RNA". It matches the Rfam family "Bacterial small subunit ribosomal RNA", at positions 568 to 774 of the family's 1533-position model. The record is from RNAcentral.